AUUGAACGCUGGCGGCAUGCUUUACACAUGCAAGUCGAACGGUAACAGGCCGCAAGGUGCUGACGAGUGGCGAACGGGUGCGUAAUGCAUCGGAACGUGCCCAGUCGUGGGGGAUAACUACUCGAAAGAGUAGCUAAUACCGCAUACGAUCUAUGGAUGAAAGCGGGGGACCGUAAGGCCUCGCGCGAUUGGAGCGGCCGAUGUCAGAUUAGGUAGUUGGUGGGGUAAAGGCUCACCAAGCCAACGAUCUGUAGCUGGUCUGAGAGGACAACCAGCCACACUGGGACUGAGGCACGGCCCAGACUCCUACGGGAGGCAGCAGUGGGGAAUUUUGGACAAUGGGCGCAAGCCUGAUCCAGCAAUGCCGCGUGCAGGAAGAAGGCCUUCGGGUUGUAAACUGCUUUUGUACGGAACGAAACGGCUCUGGUUAAUACCCGGGGCUAAUGACGGUACCGUAAGAAUAAGCACCGGCUAACUACGUG
This 482-nucleotide ribosomal RNA is filed under the name uncultured bacterium. Its description in RNAcentral is "partial 16S ribosomal RNA". It matches the Rfam family "Bacterial small subunit ribosomal RNA", at positions 30 to 507 of the family's 1533-position model. The record is from RNAcentral.